GAGCGGGGAAGGGUAGCUUGCUACCUGACCUAGCGGCGGACGGGUGAGUAAUGCUUAGGAAUCUGCCUAUUAGUGGGGGACAACAUUCCGAAAGGAAUGCUAAUACCGCAUACGCCCUACGGGGGAAAGCAGGGGAUCUUCGGACCUUGCGCUAAUAGAUGAGCCUAAGUCAGAUUAGCUAGUUGGUGGGGUAAAGGCCUACCAAGGCGACGAUCUGUAGCGGGUCUGAGAGGAUGAUCCGCCACACUGGGACUGAGACACGGCCCAGACUCCUACGGGAGGCAGCAGUGGGGAAUAUUGGACAAUGGGCGAAAGCCUGAUCCAGCCAUGCCGCGUGUGUGAAGAAGGCCUUUUGGUUGUAAAGCACUUUAAGCGAGGAGGAGGCUACUGGGAUUAAUACUCUUGGAUAGUGGACGUUACUCGCAGAAUAAGCACCGGCUAACUCUGUGCCAGCAGCCGCGGUAAUACAGAGGGUGCGAGCGUUAAUCGGAUUUACUGGGCGUAAAGCGUGCGUAGGCGGCUUUUUAAGUCGGAUGUGAAAUCCCUGAGCUUAACUUAGGAAUUGCAUUCGAUACUGGGAAGCUAGAGUAUGGGAGAGGAUGGUAGAAUUCCAGGUGUAGCGGUGAAAUGCGUAGAGAUCUGGAGGAAUACCGAUGGCGAAGGCAGCCAUCUGGCCUAAUACUGACGCUGAGGUACGAAAGCAUGGGGAGCAAACAGGAUUAGAUACCCUGGUAGUCCAUGCCGUAACGAUGUCUACUAGCCGUUGGGGCCUUUGAGGCUUUAGUGGCGCAGCUAACGCGAUAAGUAGACCGCCUGGGGAGUACGGUCGCAAGACUAAAACUCAAAUGAAUUGACGGGGGCCCGCACAAGCGGUGGAGCAUGUGGUUUAAUUCGAUGCAACGCGAAGAACCUUACCUGGUCUUGACAUAGUAAGAACUUUCCAGAGAUGGAUUGGUGCCUUUGGGAAACUUACAAUACAGGUGCUUCGUGGCGUUUUUUACUCGUGUCGUGAGAUGUUGGGUUAAGUCCCGCAACGAGCGCAACCCUUUUCCUUAUUUGCCAGCGGGUUAAGCCGGGAACUUUAAGGAUACUGCCAGUGACAAACUGGAGGAAGGCGGGGACGACGUCAAGUCAUCAUGGCCCUUACGACCAGGGCUACACACGUGCUACAAUGGUCGGUACAAAGGGUUGCUACCUAGCGAUAGGAUGCUAAUCUCAAAAAGCCGAUCGUAGUCCGGAUUGGAGUCUGCAACUCGACUCCAUGAAGUCGGAAUCGCUAGUAAUCGCGGAUCAGAAUGCCGCGGUGAAUACGUUCCCGGGCCUUGUACACACCGCCCGUCACACCAUGGGAAUUUGUUGCACCAGAAGUAGGUAGUCUAA
This 1380-nucleotide ribosomal RNA is filed under the name bacterium 28W113. Its description in RNAcentral is "bacterial SSU rRNA". It matches the Rfam family "Bacterial small subunit ribosomal RNA", at positions 64 to 1438 of the family's 1533-position model. The record is from RNAcentral.